This is a long non-coding RNA of Stomoxys calcitrans (stable fly), 462 nucleotides long. RefSeq lists it as uncharacterized. The record is from RefSeq and is a predicted model, not a curated record. The transcript has 2 exons. Lineage: Eukaryota; Metazoa; Arthropoda; Insecta; Diptera; Muscidae.
UUUAAACUAUAGUACAUUCUUUAAAAAAGUUAAAAAAAAUUAAAGGUGUGUGAUUUUAUUCCAAUUUCCAUAGGAAGGCUAUAUUCCUGAGGCAAUUCCGAAAUAUAGCUUCCCUAUCCUUUAAAGUGUAUGCAUAUGAAUGUAAGUUCUUGAUCGGAAUGGAGGCCACCAUAGCAAAGAGGUUGGCAUGUGCGCCUGGCAUGAACAUCAGAAAAGUUUUUCCGCGGUGGUAAUCCCCUCCUAAUGCUGGCGGCCUUUAUGACGUACUAUCCCUUGUAAAAAAAAUUCUCCCUUAAAAGCUACUGCGACUCGGCUAUAAAAAAUGGUUGCAAUGAUUUCAAUUAUUUAUGAAUAUAAUUGUUUAUUCUCGGUUGACUUGGUUCAAAAGGAGGUCAGACAAGAUUAUUCUGAGCGUUUUCCCAUUAAAAAUUUUCUUAGAGUUUAAUGUUUAAAUGUCUAUAA